RNAcentral lists this ribosomal RNA (780 nucleotides) under uncultured Synergistaceae bacterium. RNAcentral describes it as "bacterial SSU rRNA". It matches the Rfam family "Bacterial small subunit ribosomal RNA", at positions 8 to 795 of the family's 1533-position model. Lineage: Bacteria; Thermotogati; Synergistota; Synergistia; Synergistales; Synergistaceae. The record is from RNAcentral.
AGAGUUUGAUUAUGGCUCAGGACGAACGCUGGCGGCGUGCCUAACACAUGCAAGUCGUGCGGUCUCGCCUUAAGCGAAAGGCCUUCGGGCUUUGAAGCAAAGGCGAGAUAGCGGCGGACGGGUGAGUAACGCGUGGCUUAUCUGUCCCAGGGAGGGGGAUAACGUCUGGAAACGGGCGCUAAUACCCCAUAUGCCGAAAGGUGAAAAGGAGAGAUCCGCCCUGGGAUGAGGCCGCGUCCUAUCAGCUUGUUGGUGAGGUAACGGCCCACCAAGGCUAUGACGGGUAGCCGGCCUGAGAGGGCGGCUGGCCACACUGGGAUUGAGAUACGGCCCAGACUCCUACGGGAGGCAGCAGUGGGGAAUAUUGGGCAAUGGGGGAAACCCUGACCCAGCGACGCCGCGUGGAGGAAGGAGCCCUUCGGGGUGUAAACUCCUGUUGUAAGGGAAGAAGAUCUGACGGUACCUUACGAGGAAGCCCCGGCAAACUACGUGCCAGCAGCCGCGGUAACACGUAGGGGGCGAGCGUUGUCCGGAAUUACUGGGCGUAAAGCGCACGCAGGCGGAUGCGCGCGUCGGCUGUGAAAUGCACCGGCUCAACCGGUGCACUGCGGUCGAUACGGCGCAUCUGGAGUGCGGGAGAGGGAAGCGGAAUUCCCGGUGUAGCGGUGAAAUGCGUAGAUAUCGGGAGGAACGCCGGUGGCGAAAGCGGCUUCCUGGCCCGCAACUGACGCUCAUGUGCGAAAGCCAGGGGAGCGAACCGGAUUAGAUACCCUGGUAGUC